UUAGGUCGCUGGUUCGAUUCCGGCAGGUCG
Molecule: small nuclear RNA, 30 nt
Filed under: Arabidopsis thaliana (thale cress)
Lineage: Eukaryota; Viridiplantae; Streptophyta; Magnoliopsida; Brassicales; Brassicaceae
Description: snRNA_11520
Source: RNAcentral